RNAcentral lists this long non-coding RNA (2264 nucleotides) under Lynx pardinus (Iberian lynx). The record is from RNAcentral. Lineage: Eukaryota; Metazoa; Chordata; Mammalia; Carnivora; Felidae.
CUUUAGCUCAAGACAUGGCUCCCGGCCCUCUCCAGAGCAAAUGACCAGAUGGAGAAAGAGAGAAAGACGCGGGGAUGGAGGCGCGCUGACUUGUAUAACCUCAUCUCAGAAAGGACGUACCGUCACUGCGGGAGUAUCCCGGCGUGCACGCGCACCGCACGGAGCCUGAUGGAAGGUAGGAGGCGAUGGCCCGAGGGCGAGGAUGCCAGGAAGCAGGGAUCCCUGGGGGCCGUCCUGGAGGUCAGCGGCCACACUGGUCACGCUGAGGGCUGGUCGUCCUGAGCCACUUGUAAAUGGGUCAGAGAUGCCCGGGGUCUCAGCACCAGGAGAACCCAAGAGGCCCUGGGCUUGGUUUCCAGCUAAGGAAACCAAGUUUAGGGGUUUAUUUGCGAGAACGCAGCUGCUCUUGUCAGGAUCCUGGGGCCUCAGUCUGGCCUUGUCCUGGGGAGAAGGACCACGCCUCACCCCCCGCCCAUCCUCCCCUCCUCCGUGCCUUCCCUCUGCAGGUGCAGGUGCUGGGGUUCUGGCACAUAAAGGCCUAGAUCAAGGUCACCUUGCCCAAGCCCUGACGAGUUCCUUCUUCCCCAGAGCUGCUCCCUCACGUUCUCCCUCAGUUAAAGCAAGAAGACAAUCCGGCUUAUUUCCACAUACACGGGGUGGUCGGUGCCCUCGUAGCCCCAGAGAGCAGCACAGGCCAGCACGUCGGCACUGCCCGACACAAGUCCACGCCGGCCUUCUGGGAUCCCACUGACAACUGGAGUCUGGUGUCAGACCGUCUCGAAGCUCCGUGACCUCCGAGCAAAACAAAACACUGCCGCAAACUGGAAGGCAGCCUGAGGUGGGUGUGCCGUCACACUCAGUCUCUCGUUUACACGGGUUAUUCAUCAAAUUGCACACUUGUGAUCUGUACAAUUUUCUACACGAAUAUUAUGUUUACAUUUACAUUUCUCAAAUAGUAUUUUUUAAAACAGUCCCUUAAAAAUACAGACAGGGACGUAUGUAUCUUGCGUCUUCCCAGAUCCCAGACAGAAGACAAGCAUUCUUUCUUUCCAGGUACCAGGGAGAAGCUGGGAAGGUGUGUGGUUGCUAAAAGUUCCAGCAUUCGGGAUUCUCGCUCAGGGUUAGAGCUCCCCUUUCUCAGAGGCUGUGGGAGUCCGGGCUGUGAGCUCCUGGAGAGGGGCCGGGGGGUACACUUCCGGCUCCUAACAGAGUCCAUCUGGGACCUUUGUUGCAAAGCACAGAAUCGUUGGUAAUUCUCUGAUGGUCCUGUUCAAAUUCCCUGGGAAACUGCUCUCACCUUCUUAUGCUGUGGGCAGUGGUGAUUCAGUGACAGAAGUGAGAACAAGUCGACCAUUCGAGUGGCCCUUGACUGGCAGAUCAGUCCCAUCUCCAAACCUGCAGUGACAAAAAACAGUGAUCCCAGGGAGACUGUGGGGCUCCAAGGCUCCUCACGAAGCAGUGGCUGCAGCUGCUCUCUGGUGCCACGGAGCCCGGCAAGUCCCCAGAGACAGAGGCGGGAGUGUCCCCUGAGUGUCCCCUAUGGGAGGAUGGAACACCUGCCGCACCUGUCUUUACCCUGCAGAGACUCGCUCGGGGAUGGGGCAACAGGGCUGUGAGAAGACACCGCCAAGGGACGAGUCUGAAGCACAGAGGAUCAGAAGCUGAGGCAUCACGUCUCAAACUAUCAUUGAGUGUGUUCCUUGUAACCCGGGCAGUCACAGUGUUCGGGGGGGCAGUCACAGUGUUCCAAAGUCAGAACUGAGUUUGGAUAAUACUUCCCUAGCCCCUUUGGGGAUGGUUAGGUCACAGUGCAAAUUGUCAUGGUAAAGGCUCUGAGAAGGCCUGUGGGAAAUAACCUUGUUUCAUUUAAACCCAUUAUUCUGAAACUUAUUGAUCACAGACUCUUGUUGUUGUUGUUGGAAUACAUGCUACUGUGUUGUUUUUUACACCUUUUGGGACCCCUGCUCACUCGGCCUCUUUCCUCACCAGGAAAGGCAUCAAGGAGGGCCAUGACCCUGACGACCACCUCCAGAAGGCUUGUCCCAGGGGCAGGGGCUCCCUCCACAUCUUCACCGCACACGUGUAUCCACAGAGCGACGGCAUCUGCCACCGGGACCUUGUUAGAAAUGCAGAAUCUGGGGGCACCUGGGUGCCUCCGUCGGUUAAGCUUCCAACUUCAGCUCAGGUCAUGAUCUCAUGGUUUGUGAGUUCGAGCCCCCCAUCCGGCUGUCGGCUGUCAGCGCAGAGCCUGCUUCAGAUCCUGU